This is a non-coding RNA of Podarcis lilfordi (Lilford's wall lizard), 81 nucleotides long. The record is from the annotation of a GenBank genome assembly. Lineage: Eukaryota; Metazoa; Chordata; Lepidosauria; Squamata; Lacertidae.
GGACAAGUUAUGGCUAGCUCAGAUGGUUAGAGUGCGGCGUUGAUCAUGCCAAAGUCACGGGUUCGAUGCCCAUGCUAUUCU